UACGUAGGGCGCAAGCGUUAUCCGGAAUUAUUGGGCGUAAAGAGCUCGUAGGCGGUUUGUCGCGUCUGCCGUGAAAGUCCGGGGCUCAACUCCGGAUCUGCGGUGGGUACGGGCAGACUAGAGUGAUGUAGGGGAGACUGGAGUUCCUGGUGUAGCGGUGAAAUGCGCAGAUAUCAGGAGGAACACCGGUGGCGAAGGCGGAUCUCUGGGCCUUACCUGACGCUCAGGCGCGAAAGCUAGGGGAGCGAACCGG
RNAcentral lists this ribosomal RNA (253 nucleotides) under uncultured bacterium. RNAcentral's name for it is "partial 16S ribosomal RNA". It matches the Rfam family "Bacterial small subunit ribosomal RNA", at positions 524 to 776 of the family's 1533-position model. The record is from RNAcentral.